Molecule: non-coding RNA, 586 nt
Organism: Rattus rattus (black rat)
Lineage: Eukaryota; Metazoa; Chordata; Mammalia; Rodentia; Muridae
Source: the annotation of a RefSeq genome assembly
CCAGGGAUUAGUUACUUGCUUCUGUCUCCAGCAGCCACACAAGCACCAUGAAGAGGCUGCUGUGCUCUCUGCUGGGGCUUCUGUGCACCCAGGUUUGCUGGGUGAAAGGGCAGCAAGUGCAGCAGAGUCCCGUGUCCUUGGUUCUGCAGGAGGGAGAGAACGCAGAGCUGCAGUGCAACUUUUCCACCUCCACAAACCAACUGCAAUGGUUUUACCAGACGUCCUGGGGGAAGCCUCAUCAGCCUGUUCUUACAAUCCAUCUGGGACAAAGAAGAGUGGAAGACUGACAUCCACGACAGUCCCUAAAGAACGUCGAAGCUCUUUGCACAUCUCCUCCUCCCAGACCACAGACUCAGGCACUUAUUUCUGUGCUAUGGAUCCACAGUGCUCCACACACACCUGCAGCCUGUGCACAAACCUUCAGCCUGUGGUUAUGUCUCUUCUUAGUCACAAGACAUCAGGAAACCCCAAAGAAUAUCUGUCCGAUUUAAUAUUCCUUUCCUGUAUUGGUAGAGUUGUAACCUCAGGAAUGUUGGAAGCCGCACAGAUGAGGUCUCACCAACAUAACUGCCUCAACAGGAGCUGA